Molecule: long non-coding RNA, 1541 nt
Filed under: Medicago truncatula (barrel medic)
Lineage: Eukaryota; Viridiplantae; Streptophyta; Magnoliopsida; Fabales; Fabaceae
Description: lncRNA gene35400
Source: RNAcentral
GCUAAAUUGGAAUUUGACAAAAUCAAAGUUCCCCCACACAAAUUUUCCAAACAAAAAUUCUUAACCUCUCAUCUCUCACUCUCAACGACCUAGAUAUUUUUUUAAACUCUCUCAAACAAAGCUCUCUCUCUCUCUCUCUCUCUCUCUCUCUCUCUCUCAAUCGAACCUCUCGCUUUCUCUCACCCAGAAACACGCUGUUUCUCAUGCUCUCUCUCAAUCGAACUUCUCUCUCAAUCGAACCUCUCUCUCUCACCCAAAACCCUCAAUUUCAAACCCUCACAAUCAACACCAAUCGAAUCUCAGACAACCUUAACCUCAACGAAAUCUCAAUCAAACCACAACCCUAAUAUCGUCUUCUUAAACCCUACCAUUGUCCCUCUGAAAUCUCUUGGAAAUGGCUCUCUGAAAACUUGAGGUUGCUCUUUGGCUGGGAUAGAAUCCAUACUUGAUUUUACUUGGAUUGUUGUUCAAAGAGUUUGGGAUGUGGUUGAAGAGAAAAAUAGCGAGAUCAAGAGUUUAGAUGAGACUUUGAAUAGGCCGGUGCUCGAGAGGAUGUUGUUAAAGCAUCUCAGUUUGAGAUCAUUGUGCUGUAGGACACCGUGAAUAAAUUAAGCAUUGCUCAUUGAAUAACUUACGUAUUUGCGGUUGGAGGGUGUAACUGAAUGAAUUUUUCUAAGACUUUGGACAAUGGCUGGAGGUGUUGCUGAUUGCCAAUUUUGGCAUAGGAAUCUUGACUUGAGGUACUUUACCCGUCUUUCUUCUGCAACAACUACCAGAGUGAAUACAUCAACAAGAUGAAUGAAUAAUGAUGAUAUGGAUGAAGAAUUUCAAGAUUUGGAAAUACAAGAGAUGAAAGAGAUGUUGAUGAGUUUAAUUUAGGGGUGUUAAAGUUUUUUUUUUUUUUGCUUAUAUAUGUAAUUUGAUUUUCAUUUUAGAUCGUAUAUAAAUAAAUUAACAUAUAUGUAGCGGUGUCGGUGUCCUAUAUAUCUCCAUUGGUUUCCUAUAUUGUUGUAUUUGUGUCAUCUCACCGAUAUUGCCUUAAUUAUUUUGUUACAUUUGUGUUUUCUCACUGAUUUUUUUUAUUAUUGGCAGGUUAAUCAUCAAUUUUGUAGCCUUCAAUGAGGCCCGGCAAGUUGAUACAAUCUAAAGCAAAAAAUAAAUAAGGGCAGCAAAAAGAUGAUCGGUGAAAUUAUUGCUGCUAGAGUGAAAAUAUGCAAAAUAGGAAACAAGGAAGAAAGGAAAAGAAAAGGAGUGGAAAGAGAAGUUGUAACUAAUAGCAUAUAUGAAAUGUGGAAUUAAAUAAAGGAAGAAGGGCGAGUGAUGAUGAUGAACUUUCCUGUGGUUUACCUCUUCAAAUUCAACGGUCCUUCUUCACAACUUCUUAGCAAUAUCACGUAUGUUGUUAGAAUAAUAGGGAUUUAGUAAAUAAUAGUUAAAAAUAUAUAAUGAGGUGGAAAUUAAAUAAAAAUGUGUACAAUUUGGUUGACAUAUCAUGAUCCAUAUCAACAUUGAUUAAAUAUCGACUAACUUCAAAUUAACCG